UUCACAGUGCACUCUGCAAUCUGCACACAUGCAUAACUGCUGGUGAGCUGAUUUACCUAUUGCAGUCGGGGAUGCGUGGAGACGGAAGGUAUGGUAGAUAUUACAGGGAAGGUCGUCCCUUUGGCCAGAGAGAUUGGAGAGGAUAUUCUUGGGAAGCCAACCACCAUCAUAGUGGUCCAGCAAAUGAAGUUGGCAGGCCUCAUAGUGUUAAUGACCAAAGGUCAGUUGGUGAUUCAGCUGUGCCUGCAUCUCAUCCAAAUUCAGAUCUUCGUGAUCAGUUUCGCACAUAAGAUCAGAUUGGAAGCCACAUAGCUCUAAGGAGAAAGUAGCUGAUGGUUAUGUACAAAGAGCAAUCCCGUACUCUAAUGAGGAGUUAGAAGAAACUCGAGAACAAUGGGCAAAGUAUUUUAAGGACAAGUAUUUGAUGGAUGCCGCCGAAUGAGUUUGGGGUCGAUCUAGACGUAAUAUAUGUUGUAUGUUUUUGUUUUCUAGAAUAUAUUUAAUGGAUGUUAUGUAUGUGCAUUGAAAUGUAUUAUGAUGUUGGAUGCUAGAUAGUUGUAACAUAUAUGGAUGUUGGAGCAUAUAUGUAUGCUAUGUAUUAUAUACAGGUUUUUAUAUAAAUUCCCGUUUUGACCGGGAUUCACAAAA
This is a long non-coding RNA of Spinacia oleracea (spinach), 648 nucleotides long. RefSeq lists it as uncharacterized. Lineage: Eukaryota; Viridiplantae; Streptophyta; Magnoliopsida; Caryophyllales; Amaranthaceae. The transcript is spliced from 2 exons. The record is from RefSeq and is a predicted model, not a curated record.